CUUUCUGCACGGAGCCUUCCUGCCUCUCCUUGUUUGCAACUCAUUAAAGGCAGCCAGGUGUAUGCAGCUCACACCCACCGGCUCAGCAGCACCUCCUUCCUCUGCCUGGGAUCAUUAUCACGAGUUUGAAAGUGUCCUUGAUACAGGGAGCUUUCUCAGGGCCCAAAAGAGUGGUUCAUACUGUGCUGUCGAGAGAUGCCUGCAGUGGUCUCCACUAACACUCAUCCACACCAUUUGCCCUCCAAGAGGAAAACUGUAUCACAUCUGUUACACCUAUUGCAAAGCAGAGCAGAUUCUGUGCAAGGCUCUGUUUAAUGGGUUACACAUGGCAGCCUCACUGGCUUUGUAUGUUGGAGGGGAUUCUACUCCUCUGCUCUGCUUUGAUCAGACCCUACUUGUGGUGCUGGGUCCAGCUCUGGAGUCCUCAGCACAGGAGAGACCUGUUGGAGGGAAGCCAGAGGAGGACGCAGAAACAAUUAGACAACAGAAAUCCCUCUGCUGUGUGGACAGGCUGGAAGAGUUGGGGUUGUUCAGCCUGCAGAGGAGAAGCUGCAGUCAGAGGGAAGAAAUGUGUCUAAAGGUACCUGAUUUUGCUGAAUCAGAUUCGGAGUUUCCCUCUGCAGUAACACACUGCAGUUGUCCUCUCCAUCACUGAUCCCUGCACAUGUGAUGUGUUCCACUUCCCCCACCCAUCGGAAGAAGCUAAUGGGAACCAGACCUUAAUGGAGGGCAGUGGAAGUCAUACACAGAAACCUCUGGACACUGGAACCAAGGGAUUUAAAACCACUUCUACUCCUGGCAGUCCCUGUUUGUACGAGAAGUAAAAGUGCCUCCAUGCUCCUUGCAGCAAGCUUCCUCCAGGCUGGCUCUGGUCUUGGAUGACAGUGUCUUUCUAAAAGCAUUUGGAGUGCAACUGAAUGUGAGAGACAUGUAACUUCCCUGCAUAUCCCAGCAACAUUUGUGUCUGGAGAUGGAGAGAUAGAAGGUACUUGCUUCAACUGCAUCUGGUGUUGGAACAACCUCUCCUGCCUAGCAGUGUUCCAAGAAGCUUUGUAAACUCCAAAAGACUGAAAUGACUACAUGAAGUUUGGGUGAAUGUGAGGCUUAGUAAAUGUUGUGUCUUUUCCUGUGUUUGUGGAAUGAUAAAAUGGUUUGGAUUGGAAGGACCUUUAAAGGUCAUUUAAUCCACCACACCACAGGAUGGGGCAUCUCCCACCUCUCUGGUGCCUCACCACCUUCAGUGUAAAAAAAUGCUUCUUUCUGUCUAGUCUUAGUGUCCCUUCUUUUAGUUUAAAGCCAUCACUCCUUGUCCUGUUGCAGCAGGCCCUGCUCAGAAGUCCCUCACUGUCUUGUUGACCCUUUUAGAUAGUGAAAAGCCACCAGAUAUGUCCACAAGCUUCAUUUCUCCAGGCUGACCCUAGGAUUUCUGUAGUAGAGUGGCAGAGUAGUUUAAGCAGGAUUGAACUGGUGAGAUUUCACUCUUGGUUUUCAACCAAUACUCACAAUCAAGGGUAUUUGCAUGCACA
This is a long non-coding RNA of Pogoniulus pusillus (Red-fronted tinkerbird), 1526 nucleotides long. RefSeq lists it as uncharacterized. The transcript is spliced from 5 exons. Lineage: Eukaryota; Metazoa; Chordata; Aves; Piciformes; Lybiidae. The record is from RefSeq and is a predicted model, not a curated record.